RNAcentral lists this ribosomal RNA (253 nucleotides) under uncultured bacterium. RNAcentral describes it as "partial 16S ribosomal RNA". It matches the Rfam family "Bacterial small subunit ribosomal RNA", at positions 524 to 776 of the family's 1533-position model. The record is from RNAcentral.
UACGGAGGAUCCAAGCGUUAUCCGGAUUUAUUGGGUUUAAAGGGUGCGUAGGCGGGUUAUUAAGUCAGUGGUGAAAGCCUGCAGCUUAACUGCAGAAUUGCCAUUGAUACUGAUGAUCUUGAGUACAGUUGAGGUGGGCGGAAUGUGUCAUGUAGCGGUGAAAUGCUUAGAUAUGACACAGAACACCGAUUGCGAAGGCAGCUCGCUAAGCUGUAACUGACGCUGAGGCACGAAGGCGUGGGGAUCAAACAGG